Molecule: long non-coding RNA, 2564 nt
Filed under: Theobroma cacao (cacao)
Lineage: Eukaryota; Viridiplantae; Streptophyta; Magnoliopsida; Malvales; Malvaceae
Description: long non-coding RNA (TCAC_LNC006349)
Source: RNAcentral
AAAUAUUUAAUUUAAUUUACAAUAACAAGAGUGCCCCCGAAUAAACAAAAGUAAAGAGGACUGUGAACCUACGGUUUGGAAAAUGCAGAUCCCACUUUAGUGCUCGAUGAGAUCAGCUAUCUACAGUCUAUAUUGAACCUGAAAUGGGUGGAAAGGAGGGUGGUGAGAUUAUAAAAUCCCAAUGAGUAAACAAACAUCAUCAUAAACAUCUAGAGUUGAGUACAUGCAGACAAUAAAGUAAAUCAUCAUAAACUGGGUUAUACAAUUAGAACACAUCUCGUUCAAAAUACGUAAAAAGGCUUAUGAAUCUCACAAAAAUCUAGGCUUGUGCCAUAAAUCCAUUCUUGGGGACACUUUGGCCGAGGCAUCCUACCGAGACCGCCAAGGCUAUUAAAAUUCACAUUUCACAUUAAUCAUGUUUUUGUUUUGAAAACAUAGCCGUUCCUUGGCGUUGACUGAGUUCCCCCUCCGUGGUGGUUUAGCGUGAAGUGAACCCUAAACUUUACCUCAGGAGAUACCCUACGCGCUUCUCCGUUCGAGGUAAGAAUAUAAUGGGGUUUACCGUGCCCCUCUAAAAGGCUAGUCAACAGAAACCCCCUACUAUAGUGAUUAAUUAAUAUAUAAUCCACCAUAUAAUAAAACUCAAUAACAUGAUAUGGCAAUUUUGUAAUUCGUAGUUUUUCAAGGUAACCAAACAAUUCGCAUUUCAAUACAAUUGCCAACUAGCCAAUCAUGCUCGAUUUAUCAUAAGCCAGUUAAUUUAAACAAUCAAAUUGCCACAAUUAACAGUCUCCGUGUACUCUAUUUUUCAAAAUCACUAUUAAUUUCAAAACAAUUUAUAAUUUAAUUUCAUUGAAACUCAUUUAUUCAUAAAACAUGAAAAUUUAUCUUUUUAAAUUCCUUUUUCCAUAGAAUUCAUGAAAGCAUCUAAAAACCACCCUAGAUAAUUAAAAUGACAGUAAGUUUACUCACAAUGUCUAGAAUGCAGACUUUCGAAGCACUCUGUCUACUGGUCCUCGGAUGCAAUUUCCUUGCCUUUAUCGGAGGACUCACCACCUUGACACAGUACAAAAUCGAGAGUUUCACCAAGUUGGUACUAAAUCAAAAUUAAACUAAUUUAGACUACCAAUGCAUGAUAUGGAAUGCAAAAAUGCACUGGUAACUAUCUAAACCCGGUAUUGGCCUAAUUCGUCUUAUCACCCGAUUAAAUUCCUAACGGGUCCGUUUAAACUCCAAUUUAAUUCUUUUCAGUUUCUAUACCUCAAUUGCACCCAAAUUAACUUAAUGUCCCUCAGUGUGGUGCAAAUUAUCAGUCCCAACAGCAAAUUACGAAAAUACCCCUAGUGGGUAAAAAUUCGUAUUUUUGCUCCGAAAAUUCCCAUUAUUUUUCUAGGCUCAUAAUUCAUUAUUCCUUAACCAAUUCUCCUAGAAUAAAAUCAAACUCAUCCUCACUCACUACAUGGUAAAUUCAGCCAUUAAUGGUUGGGGGAGAAAAUAAAUUCUUUUCUUGUUGUUUUGUUUCUAAAUAUGCUAAACUAACUAAAAACACUAACAUAAAUUAAAAUCAAAUAAAUCCAACAACUUUCUCUCUCCUAACCCAUUUUUUCAGAAUUGAAUUCAUCAUGAAAACAUGUAAUUUAAUCAUGGAAAAUAAAGAGAAAUGCUUGGGAAUAAGAAAACUCAAGCUUAAUAAAAAAAACUCACCUUUUUCACUUAAUUUCCUUGAAAAUUCACACUUUUUCUUUGAUUUUCUCUCUCUAGGGUUUUGUUUUUGUUUUCUCUCUCUUCUUGCUGGUUUGGCCGGCCAUGGGGUGGAAGAUGGGCUGAUUUUGUGCCUUUUAAAAAGGAAAAUAAUAAAUUAAUAAAGGCAUGACACAUGGCAUCAUGUCAUUGGCCCGUUUUUAAAAUUUUAAAAAUUUAAACAUUUUAUCUCCACCACAUGUUUAGUCAAGGGUCAAAGAUGAAGACAAAGGAAGACCAUGUGCUGGAAAAAAUAUCCUGGUGGUGGAAAAUUACAAUUUUGCCCCUGAGGUGGCAAAAUUACCAUUUUACCCCUAUACUCCAAAUUAUACCGAAAUUAAAAUUUUUCACUUCUAAACCUCAAAUCAUACUUCAAUAAGUCAAAUUAUACUCCAAUAAGUCAAAUGGGGUCAAAAAAAUCUUUUCUAAAAUUCCCAUUUUGUCCCCAGGUGGCAAAUGACCAUUUUGCCCCUAGUUAGUGAAAAUUCCGAUUUGACUCCAAAUUGAUCCUCAAACUCCAAAUUACCAUUUUAAGUCAUCCAUGAACUGUGAAACUCUUAAUCUCACCUUAAAAUUCCUAUUUGAUCUAGUUCGAGGAUUAAAUAAACUUUGUUGUACCUCUAGGUACAAUACCGACUUUUGUAAAUUUUUCGGGACUCUCCUAGCAUGCAAUCAUGCUAUCAUCACAUGUAUGUCAUGAAUAGUAUUUUAUAAGGUCGGGCUUUACAGCACUACCCCCCUUAAAAUAAAAUUUUGACCUCAAAAUUUCACUUACCUGAUUCGAAUAAAAGAUGUGGAUAUUGGUUUCUCAUCUGGCUCUCGAC